ACCGUAAACACCCAUAAGUGGGGUUUUGAAGCCCCAAACCCCUUCCAAAUCACUCUUAGGGCUUAGAUAUGACUUGUAGACUUGCAUGUAUGAGCUUAGAACCACAAAAUCAUAUCAUAUGGAGAGUAAACAUGAGUUUACAGCCCAAGAACAAUCAUGGACCGUAAACCCCUCUUCAUGGGUCGUGAGCACCUUUUAAGGUGUUAAACUUGCCCUUAAACACCUCCUAUGGGUAGGGUAAAUGUCUAGAAUCAACCACCAUUGAAGUAGGGGCAUUAAACAUCAAAGAAACUAUGGACUUAGGAGUUUACGGCCAUAAACCCCCAAAGGAUUGGUCCAUGCGCCGUAAACUCCCUUAAAGAGGCCAAAUGACGCCCUAACUUCCCCAUAUAGCUUGGAAUAAUGCAUAGAACCUUGUAUUCUUUCAUUUAAGCCCUUAAAUCAUGAAUUGAAGGACCCAAUGAGAGUUUACGGACGUAAACUCUAUUUUUACAGCAGUGAACUCCCUUAAAUGGUUCAUUUGGAGCCUUAACCCCUUCCUAUGCCCUAGAAUUGAACCUAGCCUAAUUCCACAAGUGAUAUAAGACCUUUGAGCAUCAAACAACAUACCACCCAUGAGUUUAUGGCCGUAAACUCAUGGGGAUAUGGUCUUAGGGCCAAAAUCUCCAUAAAAAGUUUACUCUUGAAGAGUAAACUCCCUAACUAGGCCAUACACCCCCUUAUUGCAACCCAAUAGCCUCCUAGCACUUGACCAAAGUGUUUUUCCGCACAUUCGGAUGCUUAUACGUGUUUGAUUACUGUUAUAAUCACUAAUUAUAUGUAAACAUAUGUCUUCAUAUGUUAUUUGGUCAUUAAGUGUGUUCAAGUCUUUACUUGACACCGAGCACCCAACCGAAACCUCCAUCCGAUCCACUUACAGCAGGUGAGUUCAUACCCCUGAAUUAACCUUUUAAAUGAUUUUAACUGCUUUUAUAAGGGGGAAUACAAGUUGAACUGUACAACUAUUAGAUAAAUCACAUGUGAUUAAUAACUGUAUACAAAAAUAGAGUUUGCAUGUUAAACUGUUUAUCCAGCUUAAAGAUUUCCAAAUCAUGUUUUCGAAUCUUGUUAAAGUAUGAAUAUCCCUUUUUAAGAUCAUUAAAGGUUAUCCAAAGUUUUUCAAAGUUUGUUUACUGAAGAGAUAUCUAGUCGAAAUUUCUUAUCAAGGGUUUUCUUCGCUUAAACUGUUUUAUAAAAAUCAUUUUCAAAGCUGUGUAUGAAAGGUUUUUCAAAGGAUUCCAAAGAUUUUCAAAACUUGUUUUAACAAAUUGACAUCAAGUCAUACAUUUCUUAUAUGUAAAGGUUUUCCAAAGUUUUCUUCUAUGCUUUUAUUUUGUUAAAUGCAUGCAUGUAUUUGUAUAGUUAUAUAAAUAAUGUUUAAAAGACUUAGGAAGGCUAGUUCGCCCUAUUUCCUUUUCAUCGUUGGGAUGUGGUCUGGUGGGUAUCGGUUAUCCAUCCGAAGAUCGUUUANACAUUAGUUAUAUAUCAUGUAUACAUAUAUGGACAUAAAGGUUUCCAUCGACCAGUUCAUUUCCCUUGGGUAGCAAGGGCGUCCUUCCAUUCAUCAUUCGUAGACCAGAGACACUAGUAACUAUUAUAGGAAUAGUUAGGAGAUUCUAAUAACUCUUUCUAGUCCAGAUAAUUCCAAAGGAGUCAGUUCAUUCGCAAGUCUACAUUGUUAUUCCAGUACUUACAAUAGAAUUCAAAAUACGAGAUGCAUCUUCAAGACACAGAUCUCCCCGUCGUCAAGUUGGUAACAAGAGUCUCCUGGAGGGAGAGCGGGCAUUCUGUGUAUAGAUCUAUACGGGACAGACUAUUCCGCACCCUGACUGUUAGCNACACUCCCGCACCCUGACUGCUAGCUACAGUCCUCGGCCUACCAAGCCAAGGGGUGACAAAUGUCACAUUUAUUCCGACGCUUGCAGGGCGUCAAGUACUUUAUUGUCAAUCCGUAUGGUCACGAGUAUCUCCAUGUUUACCUUAUAAUUCAUGGCCUUAAGGUCACGAGAAUUAACAUUGUAUUUUUAAAACAACCCACUUAGGAUUACCGGAUGUUUUAGACUUUGCUAGCUGUGUCGUUCAUUCGAUACUGUCUGGAUUCUUUGUUUCCUUUUGUUAGACUAAACCGGGCGUAUCAUUCAUUCGAUACUCUCCUGGAGUCUAUGAUUUCUUUUGCCUUAGUCAGCAGUAUUACUGCUGAGGCAUAUGUUAUUUUGCCCCUAGUUUUUUUACUAGUGAUAUUCUCAUAUUUUCUUUAAAGUCAAUACCGUACUUUGGUAAUAUUAGUAUUCUGGGGAAAAUUACUCCUUAAAACAUAAGUCUGUCGGGUCUUGGCAGAAGACCGCCUUUAUUUAGAAAUAUAGGAUUUUCUGGAAAGGAAGCUAAUACACCGUAGAUUCUAAAAUACUAUCUUUCAUAAAGUUAUUUUGAAUAGAAAUGCGUAUUUAUACAAAUGACACAAAAUACUUAUGAACUCACCAGCAUUAUAAAAUGUUGAUACUCGCUUUCAAAAUAACUUGUAUUCUCAGGUCAGCGAUAGACAGGUACAUCCCGGGAGCUUUUGUGAAGACAACCUAGUACGAAGCUACAUCUAUAUUAUUCCUUGUAUUACUUUGAUGUUACUAUGAAAUGUAAACUAUGUAAAAUUAUUACUAUUAAUGCAAUGGUUGUUGUACUUUGAUUACUAUACUGCAUAUGUUGUGAUACUUGACAUGACGUCAUCCACCCCAGAACGUUUCCGCCGUUCCGGUUUUGGGGUGUGACAGAUUGGUAUCAGAGCAUUGUUUAUAGUGAGCUCAGUAUAUCAAUUCACAAAAGAUAUAUAGCCUAUAAAUACAUUGGGAUAAAACACUCUGACCAAGAAUUAUACUUUUAAAUAUAACCAUAUUUUACCAAAGUAUAAUAACAUCCAGAAUCUAAAACACUCGAACAAAAGUAUCACAAGAAGAACGAAUAAAAUUCUUUGGAUGUUGACCAUUACCGUCAAACCUGGGCAGUUAUGUAGUCGUAAGCUGGAAUAAAUGUAACCUGAUCAACUACAUUUAUUCGAGAUGCGACCAACGUGUGGUUGGGAGUGAUGGUGGUGUUGCAACGAAUCUGAAACUUACCAACUAGGAAUGCUAGAGCCAAACAUAAAGUUUAAAAUACUAUGGAAGUAUUUUGGAAUACUAAAAGACUCACAUUAAUCCCAUAAUCAUAUUCAAAAGUUAAGAAUCAAACAAGUAAUUAAAAUACCAUAGGCGUAUUUUAGGAUCCAUAGAUAACCUUGUGUGAAAAACUAAAAAGAUCCUCAUUGAUAUACCUAUGAUUACAGAGGGUAUACUUCUAAGGUUAUAUAUGAUAAGGAUCCCAUAGGCUAAGAAUGUGUGGUUUCGCUCUACUUCCUUUUCCUUGUUUGGAUGUGGAUAUAGAGUAGUAUCACAUAUUUGAAGGCCUAUCGGAUCUAAGCUAUAUAUAAUUUGUGUACCCUAUGUAAUUGUAGCAGGACUCGAUGUGGAUCACCCAGUGAAAUGUUAAUAAUCUCUUAGGAUUCUUUAGACAUUUCCAUUCUCACACGAACCCUGUAGAAAACCCUACCCACUUUAAUGUUUGACAAAAGAGUUGAUUCAGACCCAUAAGAGGUUCAUUUAGAAGAUUUCCAGUUCGGAAAUAGAUGAACUAGGAUGAGACAAUUGAAGCCACCAAGCGCCUAUACCUUUUAGGGACACCGGUGGGGAAACCUGCCUGAACUUCUGAGACUUCCAGUCAUCCAUCAUGAAGCGAUGACACUCAGGGGUAGGAUCAGAAGUAAGACAGCGCUGACACUCGGAUUUAGAAUCAGAAGUAAGACGGAGUAGAAAUUCAAUAUGUCUACACGAAAAGAGAACCCUAGGUAACUACCCGAAGAAAACCAAUGUCGAUCCCAGUCAAGGAUAAGAGGUAGACAGAGGGAGCCAGCACAUGGAACCCGAGAAGUGUCUUUUCCUCGUUGUAGUCGCGCUAAUACACCCAUAAAAUAAGACAAUUUAAUGGGUUAGUGAUUACACUACUCACACUAUGUGUUAGGUAAAUCGCCUUUUCCCGUCGCAUGUAACACGAUUAGAUCAGAUCCCAAAACCUCGAUCGAGGGUGUUUAGCCAUAAGUUUUCAUGAGCCCUUUUCCUCCGUGAUCCUCGUUUCGAACUUCCCUCAAAUCUUUCCAAGCCGGAGAGUGAACCUUUCCAGCAUAAAGACAACUUAGUAGGAACGACUCCCAUCUUAUGGCUUUCCGAUACUCAUACCCCUACCUUGAAUACCCGAACUACAUCAUGGGGAUGUAGUUCGACACUCAGAUAACCAAUAUCCGAGGCGCGGGAAAAUUUACGCCUAUUAUAGUAAGAAUAGAUACGUCUAGGGUUAAACAUUGUCUCUCAUCAUCUUGUGUUCCUUUUCGUGUACGAAAACCAUGCCUCCGAAGAAACGUAACCAAGCCACUGGCAAGAAACCGACUCUCCUAUUUGAUGAAGCUAUGUUCCAAGCUGCAGUCUCGGCAGCCAUAGCAGUUGUCAUGGCUCAACUGAAUGCUAACAACGCCAAUGUUAGCAAGAACUCUAUCGGAAAUCCCGAUCCUAGCAAUGGACAGUAGAAACCAACACCUGUAUACCCAGCCACCCAAGAACCCCAACCAAAGCCACUGAAGAGAAAGCUCAAGAACGAGGAGGGAAGUACCUCGGCUCAAGGACCUUUCGAAGGGCAACGAGCUGAGACAGUCAAUAUCCCUACCAACCCUUCCAUCUCGACUCCUAGAAGACCAUACCUAGGAAGCCUCCCCCGUUGCAGCAAGUGCAGCUGCCAUCAUCAUAGUACCUGCCGGGAACUCUGUUGUACUAGGUGCAACAGGAAGGGACAUAUCUCUCGUACCUGCAGAGCCCCGGUUGAGUUCAUUACAUCAACUACCAAUGUGGGGUCCAGUCCAGUUUGCCAUCUAUGUGGUGAAAUUGGGCACUCCAAGCGGGACUGCCCAACUGAAAGAAACGAAAAAGGCACAGGAGGAGUCUCACCCUAAUACCUAGGAGAAGCAUCAAUGAACCCGGUAAAAUUUUGGUACGUCUCUCAAUCUUCGAUAACUAACCGAAAACAUUAACUGAAAACAUUAAAGGGCUAAUUCUAAAAGUAAUUACUCUUUCGUUAAGGAGAAAGUCGCAACACUAUUGUAAGAAUUCAAAAUUUUCAUCAGGUAAAGCUAUAAUGGCCCGGUAUAUACGUUAAGGCCAUGUAUGAUUAAGAUGGAUAGACCUCGAGUGAGUGAUGCUGCCUCAUUUCCUGUUCCUCGUUUGGUUGUGGAUUUAGGGUGGAGUUGCUCAGUCAACAGUCCUCCCCACCUUAAUUAUACAUGACUAGUGUAUGCUAAGCGAUUAUAGACAGACCUCGUGAGAAUCCAUUCACGAAAAGUACAUUAUUCCAAAAUCUCAGGACCCUCUAUAGUUCCGCAUCGACUCUACCAGUCCAAGUAUCCACGACAGUGAUACACGGGACGAAACCUGAGACACCAAGAACUUGUGUGCCCGUUUAGCACAUGGCCUUAUCGACCCUCAUUCUAUAUCAUGUCGAUGUAUGCCAACUUCGACGCCUCUAUCAAUCAUGGUUCGACUUAGUGCAACCAUGUGUAAAUUCCUAGUGUUGUGUCAAAAGAACUUUCACCAUAGCCUUUUCGGCAGAUAAAGGUCCUUCCGAACUUAAUAAUAAAACCUAAUGCAAUCCGUCAGUCGUCUCCCUUAUCUAAUCCGAAAUACCCCUGAGUAGGGUAUCGCACGCUGUUAAUCAACCCUUCCUUAGACGAAUAGAACCCGAAGCGAAAGACACUGCAGGUAUUUCAAAACAUGUUAACCACCCGAAGCUUACUCCAUAGAUCCCCCAGAAAGACCCUUAGCACCUCACAAUCAGGUUCAUGAAUCAAGAGGAAAGAACUCAUGGGACUGACUACUAUAACUGAGUAUAUGCAUAAGGGUGGUAUAUAAUUGAGAUUAAAAGAUUUAAGAUGUGUGCUUCCUCCCUACUCCAUGUUCCUCAUUAGGUUGUGGGUCUGGGGUGGAGUCGCACAACUGAACAUCCUGUCGACCUCAAUAAGAUACGGCUUGCAUACACCAAGUAUUAGUGGUUAAGCCAAGUAUGAGCUCUACCACGAACCUCAUAGUAAAAGCCUUCAUCCUAUCCUAUAGAAUAGGAACUAGAGUCAAGAGAACCACUGCGGGUUGAGCUACAAUAAUGACCACAAAUCUGAAAUUUGUUGUCAUCCCGGUUAAGCCAACAUAGUAACUAACACCCUCAGUUGGUAAAGAAAUCUGAGCCGUAAGAGUCAAGGACAUUGACUACGACCGUCCAUUCACGCUUAAUCCCACAAAUUAAGCAUCUCAGCGGAUAUCCCGGAAACUUGGAAGCUGCGAUAAGUUAAACUCUAAGAAGAGUGGAUGAGGAGAUUAGAAGUUCCGAGUGACGGAACCCUAUACUUCUAGACUUAAUCUAAAUCAAGGAAACUCAGAACCACCGGAAGAGUACUUGCAGAAGAUGCUUGCACUACUUAGGCACUUCAUCCACCCUGUUAUUGACGAGUAGUGCCUAGGACACUCCGCCUCCUCAAGUGGAAGAAGUCACCGUCGUCCUGUAGACGAUAGACUGCAUUCUCCGAAGUGAAUACCAGAAUGCCAAGAACCACAUGAUAACCUCUGCAGCCAAGAAUACUUGAAUAAAGUAUGAAAGUAGGUUGCAUUAAGCCUUAUAAUCCAGAUCCCGAAGAGAUUAUAAACUUGACACCAGUCUAGGUGUUAGUCGAGGGAUUAUACCAGAGCACGCGCUUUCUGCAACUGAAACAAACCGACACCUUAGAGAUUAGGGCAUGUCUUAGAGAUUCAUUGGACUACUAGGUGUUCCAAGAAUACUAUCUCACACAGAAAUAGUAGAACCACCUACCGAGAUAGUCCAACACUUCAGAAAAUCUUUAAAGACUGAGUUAGCCCUAAGCAGAGAUUGCUAUUCAUGAAACAGCAAACCAAGUAAGAGGAUGAUUCUUUCCUGUGAGGAAUCAUAUUGUAAAAGCGUCAAUUAGACGAUGAUGAGAAGUUUAAAAACUUUCUAAACAAUCUUCAGGUCGAAACCCUAUCUCACUGACCUUGAGAGUGUCCGUUAGAAACAUCUCAAGAAUCAAAAGUGCAUGUUCAUUUUGCACAAGAUUGAGAUAGUCACCCUGCAGCAAAUAGAUACCCGUAGACAUCCAAUUCAUCCGAUGAUCCAGAAAACCAAUCAACAGGAAACACGAAUCCAAGGAUAACCCAAGCCUUCUAAGAACCAACCUAAAGGACUACACCCGCAAUAUGAGAGAACGUUUGGAACUUUAGAAUGGCGAUCACGCCAGUGAUGAUCUCGCCAUAGGACCAUCUGGGGUUCUUUACAAAAAUAGGGCCAACCCUCGUCAGACCACGACUACUAUAAGAAAUUCCAUAAGCUUCACCCCAAAUCAAUCCACGUCUUAGAAUUAAAAAGUGCUCGAUGUGACUCUCUAAAUCCCACUUGUCUUUAUAGAAAUCAUUGGGGACUCCAACUUCAUAUAGGCACCUGUAGGAAUCGCGAGACGAGCAAUCAAGUGAACGAAACGGAAUCCACAUCCCGUAAGUGAAAGUUUGUUAGAACGGCAAGCAAAGGCCAAAGUUCACUUCGGAGCGCAAGGACCAACCGAAUAGGAAGUACCCUCAUCUCUCUACCCGAUAGUUCAUGCCUACUUCCUUUCCAAAACCCUAAUUUCGGGAUGAAAUUCCCUCUAACAGGGGGAUGAUGUGACAACCUGAAAUUUAUCCCGACAUUUUAACCUCUUUUUCCGUUAAUAAAAUUCGCUUUAUUUAAUUGUUCCGUUAACUUUUUGGAUUAGGUUAAUUAAAUUGGGACUUCUAUUAUGUCUUCAUGAGUGCCCAAUCGAUUUAGAAACACGUGAAACACCCUCAAUAUCCCCUUGAAAAUUUUUAGUUACAAUCAAGUCAAAUUUCAACCAUUCAAUCGGGUACGACCAAAAGCCCCGUUCAACUUCAGUAUCGGGUAGAUUUCCACUGGGCCACAAACUCAAACCCCUAUAUAAGGGUGGGUGGACCUCCAUUUGAAACUUUUCCACCCUCAUAACACCCUCUGUCUACAAAGCCAAUUUUGAUCCAAAAACGCCUCUUUCAAGCUCCAAACUAGUAAGUGAUCUAUCCUAACUUGUUGUUUAGCUCAUUUAACAUGUAAAUUCAUGUUUAGAACAUCCAAAAGUAGCAAAAUCAUGUGUUUACGGCCCAAGAACACUCUUGGACCGUAAACACCCAUAAGUGGGGUUUCGAAGCCCCAAACCCCUUCCAAAUCACUCCUAGGGCUUAGAUAUUACUUGUAGACUUGCAUGUAUGAGCUUAGAACCACAAAAUCAUAUCAUAUGGAGAGUAAACAUGAGUUUACAGCCCAAGAACAAUCAUGGACCGUAAACCCCUCUUCAUGGGUCGUGAGCACCUUUUAAGGUGUUAAACUUGCCCUUAAACACCUCCUAUAGGUUGGGUAAAUGUCUAGAAUCAACCACCAUUGAAGUAGGGGAAUUAAACAUCAAAGAAACUAUGGACUUAGGAGUUUACGGCCGUAAACCCCCAAAGGAUUGGUCCAUGCGCCGUAAACUCCCUUAAAGAGGCCAAAUGACGCCCUAACUUCCCCAUAUAGCUUGGAAUAAUGCAUAGAACCUUGUAUUCUUUCAUUUAAGACCUUAAAUCAUGAAUUGAAGGACCCAGUGAGAGUUUACGGCCAUAAACUCUAUUUUUAUAGCAGUGAACUCCCUUAAAUGGUUCAUUUGGAGCCUUAACC
This 8862-nucleotide long non-coding RNA is filed under the name Lactuca sativa (garden lettuce). RNAcentral's name for it is "long non-coding RNA (LSAT_LNC001072)". Lineage: Eukaryota; Viridiplantae; Streptophyta; Magnoliopsida; Asterales; Asteraceae. The record is from RNAcentral.